Molecule: ribosomal RNA, 948 nt
Filed under: Staphylococcus aureus
Lineage: Bacteria; Bacillati; Bacillota; Bacilli; Caryophanales; Staphylococcaceae
Description: partial 23S ribosomal RNA
Rfam family: Bacterial large subunit ribosomal RNA
Source: RNAcentral
CGUUGAUUUCACACUGCCGAGAAAAGCCUCUAGAUAGAAAAUAGGUGCCCGUACCGCAAACCGACACAGGUAGUCAAGAUGAGAAUUCUAAGGUGAGCGAGCGAACUCUCGUUAAGGAACUCGGCAAAAUGACCCCGUAACUUCGGGAGAAGGGGUGCUCUUUAGGGUUAACGCCCAGAAGAGCCGCAGUGAAUAGGCCCAAGCGACUGUUUAUCAAAAACACAGGUCUCUGCUAAACCGUAAGGUGAUGUAUAGGGGCUGACGCCUGCCCGGUGCUGGAAGGUUAAGAGGAGUGGUUAGCUUCUGCGAAGCUACGAAUCGAAGCCCCAGUAAACGGCGGCCGUAACUAUAACGGUCCUAAGGUAGCGAAAUUCCUUGUCGGGUAAGUUCCGACCCGCACGAAAGGCGUAACGAUUUGGGCACUGUCUCAACGAGAGACUCGGUGAAAUCAUAGUACCUGUGAAGAUGCAGGUUACCCGCGACAGGACGGAAAGACCCCGUGGAGCUUUACUGUAGCCUGAUAUUGAAAUUCGGCACAGCUUGUACAGGAUAGGUAGGAGCCUUUGAAACGUGAGCGCUAGCUUACGUGGAGGCGCUGGUGGGAUACUACCCUAGCUGUGUUGGCUUUCUAACCCGCACCACUUAUCGUGGUGGGAGACAGUGUCAGGCGGGCAGUUUGACUGGGGCGGUCGCCUCCUAAAAGGUAACGGAGGCGCUCAAAGGUUCCCUCAGAAUGGUUGGAAAUCAUUCAUAGAGUGUAAAGGCAUAAGGGAGCUUGACUGCGAGACCUACAAGUCGAGCAGGGUCGAAAGACGGACUUAGUGAUCCGGUGGUUCCGCAUGGAAGGGCCAUCGCUCAACGGAUAAAAGCUACCCCGGGGAUAACAGGCUUAUCUCCCCCAAGAGUUCACAUCGACGGGGAGGUUUGGCACCUCGAUGUCGGCUCAUC